Non-coding RNA from Bemisia tabaci, 1835 nucleotides. NCBI's taxonomy places the organism in Eukaryota, Metazoa, Arthropoda, Insecta, Hemiptera, Aleyrodidae. The record is from RefSeq and is a predicted model, not a curated record.
GGUUAUUUUUAAGGGGUCUAGCACAGGGUUGAGGGGGGGGGGGGUAAAAACUGCAAACUUAGCGUUACAAAAUUUAAGGACGGCGCGCCCACGCAUUGCAAUGCACUUCUGCACUUAUAUUCUCUCCAACCUCCAUGGAUAUUUUAGAUAAUUAUACUAUGGAGCUUUUGAAUGUGAGAGGGAUUUGUGAUGAAAAUAUUUAUUCUUCCGUCAAAUUCCGCGAGAAACACAAUUGUGCCGCUGCUUAUCUCUUAAAUCAACUCCAAAACUCAAAAAAGGUUCUCAAAGUUGAGACCGUUAAGGCGGGGAUAUCCCAUUCUACCAUGAAAGUCAAUCUCACAUCAAGACAAACUCUCUACGCAAAGAUAGGGAUCGAAAACAUUGAUAGGAUUGCAGUGUUUUCAGUUGUGUCUCCAAACAAACUGGCACCGUUAAUGUAGUAGUUCCCUAUAUUUGUAUAGAAAGUUUAGUUGAUAUAGAGCUGGACUCUCAUGGUAAUGUGAGAUAUCCCUGUCAUUACGAUCUCAACUUUGAGAGCUUUGUUUUUUGCCAUAGACUUUAUUGGGAGAAGGUACUUAAAUCUCACAUCCUUCACAAAUGCAAGAGCUACGUUGAGGUGUGUUUUUGUUUUUGACACAGAAAAAGGAUUAAUAAAUUAAUUUCAUCGGGAAAUUCAAUUUCCUUUUUGUAACUUUUGAUACUUGGCUAUUACGCAAUAAGAUACUAAAAUUUUAAAACUAUACAAAAAGUCAGUAACACUUAAAAUAUAGAGGCAAAAAAAAAAAAAAUGGAAAAAAACCGGAAAUGAAAAAUUUUCAAGCAUAGGAAGUAUCUGAUGUUAAUGUAGUAAUAUUAAAAUCACGUUGAUUAAUUCAAACGUUCUGCUAAACAGGAGAAAAACUCUAAUGAAAUUACAAUUUUUAUAGUACACAAGUCCAAAAAACCAGCAAGUAACCAUGAGUAUGAGCUGCUAUUGCUCAAAGCUACUGAAGUAAAGGAAAGCCCUAAUGAUACAAUAGAUGUAAGAGAAAAAAAGUUCAAAUUCGUUGGAGACACACUAAAUCCAGAUUCCAACGUCAUCGGUAAAAUAUUUUUAUACUAAAUUAUGGUAUAGAUUAUUUAUUAAAGAAAAAGAGGAGUUAUAAAAGUGAAAAAAAUCAAUACGCGAGUUAUACAUGUAAUAUGUUUCAUCAUUGCAAUAAUUAAUAAGAUAAAUAAUUAUAAUUAGUCCAUAAUGUGGUCAGGUCAAGUCUAUAAUUUAAGCUUUCAAUGCCUUCAUAACCGACCUUUAAUCAGUUACCGUUUUAUUACCUUGUAUUAUGCAAACCGUACAAUCAAGAUUGACGGGAGUAAGUUAGCAUUUCCAUUACUAAUUUUAUUUUACUCAAAAAUAAAGUAAUCGAGAAAAAUAUUUUUCUACAGAUGCAAUUGGUAUAAUUGGAAUCGUAUCUGGAGAAAAGGAGGUAGGAACCAACAUUCUGAAAAGGGAAAUCAUACUCCAGGAACACAAUUUAUCAUCCAUGUGUUUGAUUCUGUGGGAAGAGCAACCCGAAAAAUUGGAAGAGGGAGAUGAAGAUAUGAGCAUAUCAAUAUCGAAUGCUACAAAAUCGACAUUUCAAGACCAAGAAAUAAACAAAUUACCCCGUCUUAGAACAGCCACAUGGAGAAAACAAUAAACUGCGUCGAAGCUAAAAUUUUGAAAGAUUGGUUGAACCAAAAAAAUAACAUUCCGUGAAAUUCAGAACUAUUUAAUACUAUUCAUUGUUCGUUUACAUUAUGAAAAUUAAUUUCAUAAAUUUAUUCAAAAUUUUAAUAAAUCAUUUUUUCAAUAACUA